GAUGAACGCUGGCGGCGUGCUUAACACAUGCAAGUCGAACGGAAAGGCUCCUGCUUGCAGGGGUACUCGAGUGGCGAACGGGUGAGUAACACGUGGGUGAUCUGCCCUGCACUUCGGGAUAAGCCUGGGAAACUGGGUGUAAUACCGGAUAGGACGAUGGUUUGGAUGCCAUUGUGGAAAGUUUUUCGGUGUGGGAUGAGCUCGCGGCCUAUCAGCUUGUUGGUGGGGUAAUGGCCUACCAAGGCGUCGACGGGUAGCCGGCCUGAGAGGGUGUACGGCCACAUUGGGACUGAGAUACGGCCCAGACUCCUACGGGAGGCAGCAGUGGGGAAUAUUGCACAAUGGGCGCAAGCCUGAUGCAGCGACGCCGCGUGGGGGAUGACGGCCUUCGGGUUGUAAACUCCUUUCGCUAGGGACGAAGCGCAAGUGACGGUACCUGGAGAAGAAGCACCGGCUAACUACGUG
This 465-nucleotide ribosomal RNA is filed under the name uncultured bacterium. Its description in RNAcentral is "partial 16S ribosomal RNA". It matches the Rfam family "Bacterial small subunit ribosomal RNA", at positions 28 to 507 of the family's 1533-position model. The record is from RNAcentral.